GACGAACGCUGGCGGCGUGCUUAACACAUGCAAGUCGAACGGAAAGUCGCUGCGUUUGGGGGAUGCUCGAGUGGCGAACGGGUGAGUAACACGUGAGUAACCUGCCCUUGACUUUGGGAUAACUUCAGGAAACUGGGGCUAAUACCGGAUAGGAGCUCCUGCUUCAUGGUUGUGGUUGGAAAGUGUCGGCGGUUGGGGAUGGACUCGCGGCUUAUCAGCAUGGUGUUGGGGUGGUGGCGUACCACGGCUUUCACGGGUAGCCGCCCUGAGAGGGUGACCGGGCACACUGGGACUGAGAUACGCCCCAGACUCUCAUGGGAGACAGCAGUGUGGAAUAUAGCAGAAUGGGCGGAAGCCGGAUGAACCAGCGCCGUUGUCGGGAUGACGGCCUUCGUGUUGUAAACAGGUUUCGCCUGUGACGAAGAAUGAGUGACCGUAAUGGGUAGAGAAGCACCGGCUAACUACGUG
This 468-nucleotide ribosomal RNA is filed under the name uncultured bacterium. RNAcentral describes it as "partial 16S ribosomal RNA". It matches the Rfam family "Bacterial small subunit ribosomal RNA", at positions 28 to 507 of the family's 1533-position model. The record is from RNAcentral.